Molecule: ribosomal RNA, 446 nt
Filed under: uncultured bacterium
Lineage: Bacteria
Description: bacterial SSU rRNA
Rfam family: Bacterial small subunit ribosomal RNA
Source: RNAcentral
CCCAGACUCCUACGGGAGGCAGCAGUGGGGAAUAUUGCACAAUGGGGGAAACCCUGAUGCAGCGACGCCGCGUGGGCGAGGAAGUACCUCGGUAUGUAAAGCCCUAUCAGCAGGGAAGAAACAGGACAGUACCUGACUAAGAAGCCCCGGCUAACUACGUGCCAGCAGCCGCGGUAAUACGUAGGGGGCAAGCGUUAUCCGGAUUUACUGGGUGUAAAGGGAGCGUAGACGGCGAUGCAAGUCUGAAGUGAAAGGCGGGGGCCCAACCCCCGGACUGCUUUGGAAACUGUAUGGCUGGAGUGCAGGAGAGGUAAGUGUAAUUCCUAGUGUAGCGGUGAAAUGCGUAGAUAUUAGGAGGAACACCAGUGGCGAAGGCGGCUUACUGGACUGUAGCUGACGUUGAUGCUCGAAAUCGUGGGGAGCAAACAGGAUUAGAUCCCCGUGUA